This 253-nucleotide ribosomal RNA is filed under the name uncultured bacterium. RNAcentral describes it as "partial 16S ribosomal RNA". It matches the Rfam family "Bacterial small subunit ribosomal RNA", at positions 524 to 776 of the family's 1533-position model. The record is from RNAcentral.
UACGUAGGUGGCAAGCGUUGUCCGGAUUUAUUGGGCGUAAAGGGAACGCAGGCGGUCUUUUAAGUCUAAUGCGAAAGCCUUCGGCUCAACCGAAGAAGUGCAUUGGAAACUGGGAGACUUGAGUGCAGAAGAGGACAGUGGAACUCCAUGUGUAGCGGUGAAAUGCGUAGAUAUAUGGAAGAACACCAGUGGCGAAGGCGGCUGUCUGGUCUGUAACUGACGCUGAGGAGCGAAAGCGUGGGGAGCGAACAGG